AACUUUUCCUAUGAACUCUUCUCUAAAGCAGGUCACAGGGAAAAAAAGGGUUUAAAGAGAAAUAACUUCUCCGGGCAAAAACUGAGGUUAGCGGGCCUAUCAGCUGUUUCUUCUCACUCCACCACUGCUGCUGACUGGAGGAGCAGCCUGGAAAGCAGCCGCCCUCCCGCAAACAGAGCUCCAGCUCCAAAUCUGUGAGAGUGCAUUUGGCAGAAUCUGAACAAGCAACACAAUGAUUAGAGGGUUUUUGUUUUUUUGUUUGUUUUUAACAGUUUUGUUACAAUGUUUCCACCCCAAAAUGUACCUGGUACCAAAUAUACUCCCUGGAAUCUUCACUACGAUCAAGAUAAUGAACCUAUUCAUCACCCCCAGAAGUUUCCUCGUGCCCCUUUGUAUUACUUUUGUUUGUAAUAGGUAUAAGAAUAAUGCUACAGCACAGUCAAGGUGGAGAAGAGCCAUUUUGGCCUCUUGGUCGAAGCAUCCAUUGUAACAAAACAACUCAGCCUGAUGUCCCAUGAUCAUGAAAGGAGCUCAUGGUAGGACUGAAUGAACACGGUGUCUUACAAAUAUUUAGGCUGAAUCAUGAGGACCAGGGCCCAAGCCUUUAGUAUAGGCCUACUGCUUGAAUAGGAAGGCCUUAUACAACCAAAAUGACCUAGAUUUCCAGCACAUCUUCCUGAUGCUCUGCAAUAUUUAUCUUUUUCUUGGAAGAGCUCAUUAGCAAGAUGGAAGGUGUUCAGGUUACUCACGAAUGUACAUAUUAUAGACUUCUCUUUAUGAGUAUAUGUGUUAGUUUAUUUUUGCAUUGCUACAAAUACCCGAGGCUUGGUAAUUUAUAAAGAAAAGAGGUUUAAUUAGCUCACAGUUCUGUAGGCUGUAUAGGAAGCAUGGUGCUGGCAUCUGCUCAGCUUCUGGUAGGGCCAUAGGGAGGUUUUACUCAUGGCAGAAGGCCAAGGGGGAAAAAGGCAUGGUGAGAGAGGGAGCAAGAGAGAGAGAAGGGGGAGGUCCCAGACUCUCUGAACAACUAGGUCUAUUGUGAACUGAGUGAGAACUCACUCAUCACCAAGGAGAUGGUGCUAAGCCAUUCAUGAGGGAUCUGCCCCCAUCAUCCAAUACUUCCCACCAGGCCCCACCUCCAACAUUGAGGAUCACAUUUCAACAUGAGAUUUGAAAGGGACACACCUCCAAAUCCUAUCAGUAUAUGAAUAAUGUUGAAAUAUACUUUUCUGGGGGAAUAUAGGGGAAGUAGGGCCAGUGGUUUGCUCAUAAAAAAAUUUCAAAAAUUGUGAAAGCCAUCAUUAAAAAUUAAUUUAUAUAUAAACCUGUACUAAAUAAAAGAUCUUAAAAACAAAGUUUAUAAAUACUCAAAACUCAUUACUUCAUAAUUAUUUUACUACAUUUUACUAAUAUCUAUGCUUUUAAGUUUGUGUCUGUUGUGUCUGUAUGGGAGAAAUAUUCUACGGUGGUCUGCUGUUGUCAUUAUAUAUCUUUUCUCAGUUCAGUGUAUUCAGUGAUGUCACCCUGGUAGCUUGAAAUUAGCCAUGAUGGGAAUAGUUACACCAUGGAAACUGGUGAGCACUACAAAUAAAGGCUUGAUUUAUUGUUUUUUGAUUGUUGAUUGCCUCGACCUUAGACAGUUAUACAGGAAAUGCACAUUAAACUUAAAUGUAUGCCUUGACUGUAACCAGCACGGUGUGAAUGGACCAAAAAAUGAGGAAAUAUUCUUCAAGUAUUCAAAAACAAUUCUCUGAUAGAGCAAAGAAGUCACUUCAUCAUUGAGAAACUACUGAAGUUCCUAUAUUUAUCUUCAUUGUUUCACUUUCUUGUUAACAUAAAAAAAUGUGUUAACCAAGAUUUAUGUCAGAACUAUACUGUGGCUCAUCAAUUGCAGCCAUAGGUUGGCUGUGAAUGCAACAGUUUAGUAAAAACAAAAACAUUCUGUGAGAUUCAAUUAGCUAUAUAUAAUUUACAGUAACAAAUAUUGUAUAUAUUAUUAUUUGCAAAUUGUAUGCCAAGAAUCCUUCAUAUUAGUCACAAUUUAUAAUAAUUGUAUGUAUAUGUCCAUCUAUCUAUGCCUAUAUUGUUUUUUUUUUAAAUUAUUAUUAUACUUUAAGUUUUAGGGUACAUGUGCACAAUGUGCAGGUUAGUUACAUAUGUAUACAUGUGCCAUGCUGGUGCGCUGCACCCACUAACUCGUCAUCUAGCAUUAGGUAUAUCUCCCAAUGCUAUUCCGCCCCCCUCCCCCCACCCCACAACAGUCCCCAGAGUGUGAUGUUCCCCU
RNAcentral lists this long non-coding RNA (2281 nucleotides) under Homo sapiens (human). RNAcentral describes it as "non-protein coding LINC01829:32". The record is from RNAcentral. Lineage: Eukaryota; Metazoa; Chordata; Mammalia; Primates; Hominidae.